This 1243-nucleotide long non-coding RNA is filed under the name Anser cygnoides (Swan goose). Its description in RNAcentral is "lncRNA (ENSACDG00005018919.1)". The record is from RNAcentral. Lineage: Eukaryota; Metazoa; Chordata; Aves; Anseriformes; Anatidae.
AACGUGGGCUUGUACCCCCAAAUGGAGGCUGCUGCUACGGCUUCUUCCCCGCAGCACCCACGAGCAGGAUCCUUGGACCUCAGCCUACAGAAGAGUGAAGCCUUUGGACAAAGAGGGGGCUCCCAGACCCUAUAACAAGAAGCCCCCAAAGGUUUUGGGGUCCCAGCAUGGGGGUGCCAAGGCCAGGAGCUGGGGCUGCUGCUGGGUGGGCUACAGGGGCCUGGGGGGCUCCUGGUGGCUGGAUGGGAUUUGGGCUGCAGGAGUGCAAAACGGCGGCGUUUUGGGGUCUGGAGAAUUUGGGGCGUUUUGAAGGAUCUGGCCACACGAAUGUGAAAUGACAGUAUUUGGUGGCUGGCCGCAAGAAGCGUGAAAUGGCGUUGUGGGGUCUGGAGAAUUUGGGGUGUUCUGAGGGGGGGCUGGCCACGGGAGUGCUAAACGGCAUCACUUUGGGGUCUGGAAAAUUUACGGCACUUCUGAGGUGGCUGCAGGAGCACAAAACGGCAGCAUUUAGGGGUCUGGAGGAUUAGGGGUGUUUUGAGGGGUCCAGCCACAUAAUGGGAGCAUUUUGGGGCCUGGAGAAUUUGGGGCGCUUUUGAAGCGGCUGUAGGAGCGUAAAAUGAUGAUGUUCUGGGGGCUGGAAAACUCGGGGCACUCGAGGCGGCCGCAGGAGCACAAAACGGUGGCGUUUGAGGGGGGUCUGGUGAAAUUUGGGGCGGUUUUGAGGUAGAGCCGGAGGCAGGGACGCAAAAUGGCGGCGUUUCGGGGUCUGGCUCCUGCGGGCCUAAGGCCUUUGGGGACCCCCCGAAAGGCGUCCAGCCCCCGGUCGCGGCCGGGGUCGGGGCCUGAACCGGGGCCUAGGCCAGGACCGGGGCCUGGGUCUAGGCUGGGACCGGAGCCGGGGAACCUGAGCCCGCCCCGGGGAGGUCCCCGGCGUCCGCCCGCUGCCGGAAGGGGCGGCCCGGGCCCCGCCAUGCCGCCAGCCCUCACCGGGGGGCGGCUGCUCCUGGGGGCAGCCCCUCGCCGUUACCGGCCCCACGUCGCCGAGCGGCUGCGCCUUUUCCAACGGCUCCAAGCGGCCCGGGAGAGGAGGGCCGGGGGUGAUGAUGGUGGGGGGAGCCCCCCAGCGGGGACCCCCAUCCGCAUCGCCCUGCCCGGGGGGCGCUGCCUGCACGGCCGUGCCCUGCAGACCACCCCGCGGCAGGUGGCCGAGCAGUUGGGGUACGGCCAAGGGGGGUCCCCCCCC